CCUACGGGCGGCUGCAGUGGGGAAUAUUGGACAAUGGGCGCAAGCCUGAUCCAGCAAUGCCGCGUGUGUGAAGAAGGCCUGCGGGUUGUAAAGCACUUUUAUCGGGAAAGAAAAGCUUGGGGCUAAUAUCUUCAAGCCUUGACGGUACCCGUUGAAUAAGCACCGGCUAACUCCGUGCCAGCAGCCGCGGUAAUACGGAGGGUGCAAGCGUUAUCCGGAUUUACUGGGUGUAAAGCGCGUGCAGGCGGUUUGGUAAGUUGGAUGUGAAAGCUCCUGGCUUAACUGGGAGAGGUCGUUCAAAACUACCAGACUUGAGGGCGGUAGAGGGAGGUGGAAUUCCGUGGGUAGUGGUGAAAUGCGUAGAUAUACGGAGGAACACCAGUGGCGAAAGCGGCCUCCUAGACCGAUCCUGACGCUCAGACGCGAAAGCUAGGGUAGCAAACGGGAUUAGAUACCCUGGUANUC
This 465-nucleotide ribosomal RNA is filed under the name uncultured bacterium. Its description in RNAcentral is "bacterial SSU rRNA". It matches the Rfam family "Bacterial small subunit ribosomal RNA", at positions 338 to 795 of the family's 1533-position model. The record is from RNAcentral.